GACGAAGGGGGCUAGCGUUGUUCGGAAUUACUGGGCGUAAAGCGUGCGUAGACGGUUAUUUAAGUCGGAUGUGAAAGCCCCGGGCUCAACCUGGGAAUUGCAUUCGAGACUGAAUAGCUAGGGUACGGUAGAGGGAAGUGGAAUUUCCGGUGUAGCGGUGAAAUGCGUAGAUAUCGGAAGGAACAUCAGUGGCGAAAGCGACUUCCUGGACCAGUACCGACGUUCAGGCACGAAAGCGUGGGGAGCAAACAGG
Molecule: ribosomal RNA, 253 nt
Filed under: uncultured bacterium
Lineage: Bacteria
Description: partial 16S ribosomal RNA
Rfam family: Bacterial small subunit ribosomal RNA
Source: RNAcentral